UGGGAAGUGGCCUGGGGUCAUAGGGAGGCAUUGGGUAUAGCCAAAACAACUGAAUCAUGGCCUCACAGGAACACCAGAGAUCUCCUUGAGUAGCCUUCUUAGAUCAGAUGACUGGUCACUCCAAGUCUUUCCCUCCUCUGAACUAAUAGUAUUCAUUAUCAGUUGCCUAAAUUUCAUCUUUUCCAUGAACUCUUCACUGACCAGCCCAUUUGGAAACAAUCUGGACCUCAUCUGAAAUCCAUGAUCCACAACUUCACUGGUGUAAGAAACUCCUUCUAGUGAUGCAGAUUGAUAGACACUUCAAAGAAGACUGAAUUCUUCUGAAUAUUCUGGACCACAGAAACAAAGUUCCAGUAUUUUGCCUGUUUACCAGAUACUGGCAGUGAAAUUUCAACACAUAAUACGCUACUUAAACAGUUCUUGUCUUG
Molecule: non-coding RNA, 428 nt
Organism: Phascolarctos cinereus (koala)
Lineage: Eukaryota; Metazoa; Chordata; Mammalia; Diprotodontia; Phascolarctidae
Source: RefSeq, a predicted model, not a curated record